RNAcentral lists this small nucleolar RNA (88 nucleotides) under Olea europaea subsp. europaea. Its description in RNAcentral is "small nucleolar RNA snoR114". It matches the Rfam family "small nucleolar RNA snoR114". The record is from Rfam by way of RNAcentral. Lineage: Eukaryota; Viridiplantae; Streptophyta; Magnoliopsida; Lamiales; Oleaceae.
AUGCGAUGAAGAUAAUUACGCCCAUUGUGACGGUUGGGUCUGUCGCUUUAUCUGUAUACACGGAUGAAAGUGUGGCGUUUCUGAGCUC